Long non-coding RNA from Corvus hawaiiensis (hawaiian crow), 1341 nucleotides. RefSeq lists it as uncharacterized. NCBI's taxonomy places the organism in Eukaryota, Metazoa, Chordata, Aves, Passeriformes, Corvidae. The record is from RefSeq and is a predicted model, not a curated record. The transcript has 4 exons.
AUCUCACUCUGCUUUGAGGUCUGAUGAUUUCAUCAGCUGUGCUACUGCAGGAGAAACUCAGGGAGCUGAACUCAAGUUUCAGCAGCUUCUUGUCUUCUACCUGCUACUAUUUGAAAGACUAAAGAAAUCCGUUCUUUUGUUCCUGCUACAUUCACUGUUUUCACUUUUUGAUUCAAGAUCUUUGGGAGGCCUUCUAUUACAUGUGGGAGACUGAAACUCUGGUUUCUAGGCAAGGAACACUAUUGGGACAUAAUAGCUCAUAAACCUGGAAGAAGUGUACCAAUAUUUAUAGACAAUAAAGGAAAAAUAUCUGGUAAACUGUAAACACUGAUGUCCAUAUUUAUUAAAUGCUGACCUAUUACUCUUUUAUUUGGGGACCAAUGGUGUGUUCCAAAAGUGAUUUUAACCUUCCAAGGAGCAAUAGGGAAAUCUCUCAAGAGUCCUAUGACAUGUGAGUGUAAAUAACUGUGAUGUUAUUCAGUGUCUGUAACUGUGAUUGUCCUGUAAGCAAGAUUGAAGUUCCUCAUGUUUCUCAAAAGUAGAAGGCAUAAAAGUACAUGGUAAGAUGUAGAUUUGCUCUAGGAUUUAUAGAUAUUUCUUUGCUAGAGAACAGACAGAUAAUUUCAAUCUGAUGUAUUUCCUACCUAUAAUUUUUAUGGAUUAGUAUCGUAUUUGAAUUAGAUAUUAUUUAAACCUUAUUGACUAGACAAGCAUAAAGGAACAAUCUGCUUGAUAGUAAUUCCUCACAGUCUACUGAAUGCACCACUGCCAUUACAAUGGCUGGUAUUUAAAGCAUACAGCUUUAUGGACUCUGCAGCUGGACAGAGCUCACACUGGGAGCAUGUGACAUUCAGCUAAAAUCUUAUGCUGGCUGCCUGGGGGCUGGUUUCAGGUGUGAUGCUGGGCUGUGUGCUGUAAUCCAGGCACUCCCCAUUUCUCUUAAACAAACUGGGCAGGAAACCCUGACAGGAGCCAAAAGCAAAUGUGGCUAAAGCGCAAAGAGAACGGUAGCACGGCUAUUGGCAAAGGCAAGAUUUUUGAAGAGGAAAUUUAUAUUGUCUAGCUCACUUCCAAGCUUACAACCUAUAUCAAUCUGCAAUCAAUCAUUGACUUGUUUUGGAUACCUACCUUAUAAAACUUUGCAGGAUUUAAAUUUUUGUAUUCUUUUAAAAUACAGCUGGAGGAGUAAACUGUAUUUGUAUCUUUCAUCUCUAUUCAAUGUUUAGUUCUUACUAUGCCAGAAUUCAGUUUCCUUUAUCUCAAGAUAAUGAAGUACACAUUUCUCACCACACAAAAUGUUUUUAGUUUAUUGUUCAAGGAGUGAGUGUAUAGGAUGUACUG